This 451-nucleotide ribosomal RNA is filed under the name uncultured bacterium. RNAcentral describes it as "SSU rRNA". It matches the Rfam family "Bacterial small subunit ribosomal RNA", at positions 26 to 523 of the family's 1533-position model. The record is from RNAcentral.
AGAACGAACGCUGGCGGCAUGCCUAACACAUGCAAGUCGAACGAUGCUUUCGGGCAUAGUGGCGCACGGGUGCGUAACGCGUGGGAAUCUGCCCCUUGGUUCGGAAUAACAGUGGGAAACUACUGCUAAUACCGGAUGACGACGUAAGUCCAAAGAUUUAUCGCCGAGGGAUGAGCCCGCGUAGGAUUAGCUAGUUGGUGAGGUAAUGGCUCACCAAGGCGACGAUCCUUAGCUGGUCUGAGAGGAUGAUCAGCCACACUGGGACUGAGACACGGCCCAGACUCCUACGGGAGGCAGCAGUGGGGAAUAUUGGACAAUGGGCGCAAGCCUGAUCCAGCAAUGCCGCGUGAGUGAUGAAGGCCUUAGGGUUGUAAAGCUCUUUUACCAGGGAUGAUAAUGACAGUACCUGGAGAAUAAGCUCCGGCUAACUCCGUGCCAGCAGCCGCGGUAA